This 257-nucleotide ribosomal RNA is filed under the name uncultured bacterium. RNAcentral's name for it is "partial 16S ribosomal RNA". It matches the Rfam family "Bacterial small subunit ribosomal RNA", at positions 524 to 777 of the family's 1533-position model. The record is from RNAcentral.
UACGUAGGGGGCAAGCGUUGUCCGGAUUUAUUGGGCGUAAAGAGCGUGUAGGCGGCCAUACAGGUCAGCUGUGAAAACUCGAGGCUCAACCUCGAGACGUCGGUUGAAACCGUAUGGCUAGAGUCCGGAAGAGGAGAGUGGAAUUCCCGGUGUAGCGGUGAAAUGCGCAGAUAUCGGGGAAGAACACCCGUGGCGAAGGCGGCUCUCUGGGACGGUACUGGACGCUGAGACGCGAAAAGCGUGGGGAGCGAACGAGG